GGAAAUGUUUCUGAUUCACGCAUGCAAAUUCAUCUUCAGAUAGUGUCUUUAUAGCAAUGUGCAUGCAGUAGAUUGCUCAGAUUACAUUGGGAAAACAGGCGACUGCUGCAAAUUGUGCUUUAAUGUUUAGCUGGUCAAAUGUAUGGUAUGGAAACCUUAUAUACCUGCUAGAUGAACCCGUCUCAUACAGCUGCCAUUGCAAGGCUCAGACACUUUGUAGAGAGGAAUUUAACACAACUGCCUCUAGGAGUCGCCAAUGGAAAUAAAACAGAGACGCACAAAAAAUGUGCGUACGCCUGCCAGAAAGCUGCCGUGAACCCAGCCGGCACACGACCGACCUUCAACGUUGAAAUAUGGUUGAAAUAAGGUCAGAUGUGUUUUGAACGUUGAAAUAAUGUUGAUAGAACGUUUAAUGUUGAACGGUUGAAAAACAGCCUGCAUAUGACAAGGCUUCAACGUUGAAAUAUGGUUGAAAAUACGUCAGUAGUUGCUUUAAUGUUGAAACAAUGUUGAAUGAUAAAUGGUUGAAAAAAGUUACAGAAAUCCUUGUACAAAUCAACGUUGACAUUUUUUUUAUCAUGGUCUGUAUGUUGAAUUAACGUCAUGGCUUCACCCAAUAUUCAACAUGUUUGGUUACCAUGGUAUCGGAGGACUCGGCGCACGCGGCCACGCGCAGCGCUUCACUUCACUUAAUUACGAACACCUGACCUGCAGUGCAGCAGAAUUCAGAGACAUGUAACGUACUCCAGAGACGCACUAACUUGCACAGCAUUGAAUGGAAAAGGCUUUGCCCAUGUCCAGUUGAGGGGCAUCAAGAACACGCAGAAAGCCUACCUGGACAGACUGCAGUUCUGCUACUCCAUGCCAAGGCUUUUGUAUGGAUGUCUUGACUACUACUGUGUUCUCUAAAGGUUUUUGGAAGCUCCAUUUGAGGACAUCAAGGACAUACUGAUGGCCUAAACCAGUGUCAGCCUAGACAGACAGACAUCUAUUGCAGUCCUGCUACACAAGACCAAACUCUCUGCUUUUGUAUGGAUGUCUGACUAGUACGGUGUUCUCUAAAGGUGUAACUGGAGCAAAACAACAGCACCCGUUACAGUGAAAUUUGUGUUCAUAAAAGAUAGUGAUAUAUGUGUAACAGGUCCAGAACAUUUGUCAUAAAGGUUAAAUCACAGUAAGUACUGUAAAAAUAACUUGUUUGCCUUUGCCACAACAGGUCAUGGUGUGUGCUUACUGCUCGUAGUAAACACACAUGCUGAUCUGAUGCGGGAGAGAUAUACGCAAACACAUUUGUAUUUACUGUUUUGUUUUGCCUCACUAAAGUGUUGUUGGAGCUUGGUAUGUUCACAGUUGAAAUCACUGAAGUCACAUAGAACGUUUUGACAAUGUGUUUUGUGCCUUAUCUUGACAAUGACCAUCUUGGGACCAUUGCUGUCUGUAGAGGAUGAGGAGCAUUUAAUCAAAAAUAUUUUAGUUUGUGUUCUGAAGAUUAACAGGUCUCUGGGAUGACACAAGUAAUUAAUAACAGAACCUAUAUGAACACUUAAUGUGACAUGUAAUAGUGAAAUAGUGGUCCUACAUUCACAAAUGUGAGCCAUUAUUAUAAGACCCAUGUGAACAUGCAAUUUUUAUGAUACUAAUAAUAAUAAUGGAAUAACAAAUUGCUUUUACUGUUGUGUUUGUGAGAGAGAAUAUUCUACACAUUUUCUUGAUGAUUUACUGAAAUAUUUGUCUACAUGUUCCACUGUCACAGGUGCUCAGUUUUGCUGCAGUAAUGCUAAACACAAUAGAUGUACUUUAUGCAAAAAAAAAAAAAACUACUAAAUA
RNAcentral lists this long non-coding RNA (1827 nucleotides) under Danio rerio (zebrafish). RNAcentral describes it as "si:dkey-7f16.2 (ENSDARG00000097966.2)". Lineage: Eukaryota; Metazoa; Chordata; Actinopteri; Cypriniformes; Danionidae. The record is from RNAcentral.